AGAGUUUGAUCCUGGCUCAGGAUGAACGUUGGCGGCGUGCCUAACACAUGCAAGUCGAACGGGAUUCGCCGUUUUCGGAUGGCGAUGAGAGUGGCGAACGGGUGAGUAACGCGUAACUGAUCUGCCCUGGAGACCGGGACAACGUUGGGAAACCGGCGCUAAUACCGGAUGAAGUCGAUGUGGUUGGGUUCAUGUCGACCAAAGGCUUCGGCGCUCUGGGAGGGGGUUGCGAUCCAUCAGCUAGUUGGCGGGGUAAAGGCCUGCCAAGGCGAUGACGGAUAGGGGAUCUGAGAGGGUGUUCCCCCACACUGGGACUGAGACACGGCCCAGACUCUUACGGGAGGCAGCAGUGAGGGAUAUUGCACAAUGGACGGAAGUCUGAUGCAGCGACGCCGCGUGAGCGAAGAAGGUUUUCGGAUCGUAAAGUUCUUUUCUGCGUGACGAGGUAGGACGGUAGCGCAGGAAUAAGUGUCGGCUAACUACGUGCCAGCAGCCGCGGUAAAACGUAGGACGCGAACGUUAUCCGGAGUUACUGGGCGUAAAGGGCGGUCAGGCGGUUGCGCAAGUUGCUUAUGAAAGUUGCUGGCUAAACUGGCGAAUAGUGGGCAAAACUGUGCGACUAGAGAGAGACAGAGGGCAGUAGAAUUCCGGGUGUAGUGGUGAAAUGCGUAGAUAUCCGGAGGAAUACCGGCGGCGAAGGCGGCUGCCUGGGUCUCAGCUGACGCUGACCCGCGAAAGCGUGGGUAGCGAACGGGAUUAGAAACCCCGGUAGUCCACGCUGUAAACGAUGCACAUUAGGCGUUCGGUUGCGCUUAGGCGCAAUUGAGUGUCGCAGCAAACGCGAUAAAUGUGCCGCCUGGGGAGUACGGUCGCAAGGCUAAAACUCAAAGGAAUUGACGGGGGCCCGCACAAGCAGCGGAGCGUGUGGUUUAAUUCGAGGCGACGCGAAGAACCUUACCUGGGUUUGACAUCAUGGUAGUACGGAAGCGAAAGCGGAAGGGCCCUUCGGGGAGCCAUGACAGGUGCUGCAUGGCUGUCGUCAGCUCGUG
This 1049-nucleotide ribosomal RNA is filed under the name uncultured bacterium. RNAcentral describes it as "bacterial SSU rRNA". It matches the Rfam family "Bacterial small subunit ribosomal RNA", at positions 8 to 1064 of the family's 1533-position model. The record is from RNAcentral.